GCAAGAGAAUGUAAUACAUCAGAUGCCUUUUAAAGAUGAAUAUUGAGCGUAUUGAUCCAGAAAAUAAUUUAUCAAAGCUGUUAUUCUCUAAGUUUGAAUACCAAACUACUAAUACGAUUGUCAUUAUUUGGUGGGAUUUUCAAUAGAUGUUCAAUUGCAUCAAACACAGUUCAACCAAGAGAGAAAUUAUAUUGCUGUCAGAGUUAUUCUUCUUAAUUUCUCUAUUGGGAACAAAAAGCCCCAUUAAACGUGGAAAUGUUGUUAUCUAUUUUAUUCUCAUUAUAAUUGAGUACUACAUAAAUUAGAUAAUGAGUUCCAAGGGUUUAAGGAAUCAUACAUG
This 340-nucleotide long non-coding RNA is filed under the name Elaeis guineensis (African oil palm). RNAcentral's name for it is "long non-coding RNA (EGUI_LNC049483)". Lineage: Eukaryota; Viridiplantae; Streptophyta; Magnoliopsida; Arecales; Arecaceae. The record is from RNAcentral.